Molecule: long non-coding RNA, 1044 nt
Filed under: Cyanistes caeruleus (blue tit)
Lineage: Eukaryota; Metazoa; Chordata; Aves; Passeriformes; Paridae
Description: lncRNA (ENSCCEG00000001885.1)
Source: RNAcentral
AACCCCAAAAUUCCAGCCUCACAUCCCACAGGAGAAGCUUCCAGAACCCCUCAGGGCACCUCAACCCCAAAAUUCCAGCCCCACAUCCCACGGGAGAGGCUCCCAGCCCCCCGAGGGACCCGGAUCCGUUCCCUGGGAUACCUGGGAGCGCUGGAAUAUUUCGUGGAUGGCGUUGGAGAAGAGCUGGAGGCUGUGGAACAGCAGCUGCUUCACCAUCACCUGCUCCUGGACGGAGUCGGGAGGGACCUGGGAAUGGGAAAAAUGGGAUUUGGGAAUGCUGGGAUGGAGCUGGGAAUGAGAACGGGGUCAGGGAAUGGACCCUGGGAAUGGGAAAAACGGGAUUUGGGAAUGCUGGGGUGGGGCUGGGAAUGGGGUCAGGGAAUGGACCCUGGGAAUUAGAGAAAUGGGAUUUAGGAAUGCUGGGAAUGGGGAAAGAGGGAUCUGGAGGUUCAGGAACUCCAGGAGCUUCUACUGGGAUGGAUCUGGGAAAGGGAAAAGUGGGAUUUGGGACUCCCCAAAGUCCAGGAGCUGCUGCCAGGGCUGGGACCUCCAGGAUUCCAGGGAAUCCUGAUCCCGGAGCUGCUCCUCCUCCUCCUCCUCCUCACCUGGGCCAGCAGCUGCCGCAGCGCCCGCCCGUGGCCCUGGGAGAAGGCACAAAUCCCGGGAAGCUCCUGGAGGCCGAGGGGCAGCUCCUGGCUCUUCCUGAGCGCCUCCCCGAGCUGCCCCAGCACAAACUGGGAGCACUCCAGCACCACCCGGAGAAUCCUUCCGGAAGGUUCCGCCGCCAGCGCCGCUCCUGCCCGGCACAGCGCCGAGCCCACGGCUCGGGCUCCGGCCCCGCCUUUGAGCAGCGCCCAGCUGAGCUGGAUCCCGGCCUCCAGCAGCUCCAGGGGGGCUCCCAGAGAAUUCCCAGCUCCCAAAAACCCUUUGGAAUCCCCCAGCAGGUCCAGAGCCUCGCGGUGCCGCCGGGCCUUGCAGAGGCGGCGGCAGCACUCCAGGGUGAGCUCCAGGCAGCACAGGGAGCUCCCGAGAUCCGGAGGCCGC